CCUUCGCUCUGUCCAGUAUUGUCCUGUCACGGGGUGUUGUUUAGGGCCGGAGAGGGACCCAGAUGUGGUAUGCAGUGCACUCCUCCCUCAUCAUGGCUCUACAGUAUUCCCUCUCCCAGUCAGAACAACCCAGGCGGCCUCUACUCCUCUUAUCAGAUGGAGUCAGGCAGGCAGGAUGGGACGGGGACAGUGUGGAUCCAGCUGCUCCCAGGAGCAGGGUGCAGGCCCACGUAAUAGGUCUGCUGGCAUCCCAGGCCUCGCCCCACUGGCAUCCCAGUCACAGCCAGGCAGGCUGCUCCAUGGGUGGCACACCUUGGAAACAGGCGGCAGAGACAGAGGAGGUGGACACGGGGGAGACAGGUGAAGGGAACCUUCAACGCCGGGUGACUCUAGCUUGUCAGGCAAGACCUCAGAAUAAAAUGCGACACAUGUACACUUGUGACACCUCCUUCGUUGUUGCCAGUCUCCCUCGCCUCCUAUGAAAAGGACAUGCCAUCACGAGGCCUCUGACAGUGGCCCGAGUUACAGCCCAUAUGACGCAGACGGCUUCAUCAACGACAGGCCCUCCCAGUCCACAGCACCUUAUAAUAUUGCCUGCUGCAGUUGUUCGAGAGAUGUCCAGUUUGCAGCCGAACAUGCAGCAUAGAGAAGACCAGCAAGGGGGCCCUUAUCAGCAUCAUGCAGACAUGCCCUCACUGUGAGUAUUCCUAUGAAUGGAACAGUCAGCCACUUGUUGGCAAGUAUCAGCCCAGCAACCCUCACCUGUCGGUGGCAACAGCUUACACAGGCUCAUCAUUUGUACAAAUACAGAAGGUAACCCACUUUAUUACUUUGAUACAUUUGAUAGCCCAAUUGUGAAACCUAAUUUAUGUAAACAGACAUUACUUGUUGAUUAUUUUAUACUUCUUAGAUGCAUACAAUGUCCAGGGCAUAACCUAGCCUGGUGGAUCCAGUCUGAUCACUGUGUUCACCAUUCUAUUUCACUUCACAUUUUAUGAUAUCUGAAGUGAAAUAGAAAGGAGAAUGCAGCGAUCAGGUUGGGUCCACCAGGCUAAUCAUAACCAACAUUGAUCAUGUAAUCAGUGCUCUGUGUGUGUGUGUGUUUGUGUUUGACCGACCAGUAUCUUUGAUGAGGGGCUGAUCUAUGCUGCUAUGCCCGUCAAUGGGGCUCUGUCAAAGAAUCUCACCUCCAGCCUCACCACUUGCAUGUUCACCAACGGUCGUCGAAGGGGAGAAGAGAAUUAUGUAGGUUUAGUCUGACCUGUUCAAAUGUCAGCAUAGCACCUGUUUGUGUGUCAGAUAUGACCUAUCCUAACUGCCAUUAGUAAUAGAAAAGUGAAUGUGUGUUUGUGUUCACAGAAACAUGUAUGGAGCCAGCACAUAGAGACUUGCAAAAUGAUGUGAUGAAGUUCAGACUCACGGACGAGCUUCUCUCAAAGGAGAUAUACCUGGAACUCAGCAUAACAUUUUUACUAGACAUAACUUUUACUUGGGUCUUUUUUAUUAUUUAAUUGAAUGGUAUCAUUCAAUACGGGCAGGGAGAAACCCUGUGUAUUCUGCACCAGGAUCAGGGAACUCCUGUUGUACACGGGACACCACACAGGAAGAUAUGACCACUCUGACAUGUUUGCCAAGGUAGCCUCACUACCACCAGACAAAAUGCCGAUAGGCACAGUAUCUGUAUCGGCUGGGAAUGACAAUGGUGCACAUUGUUAUAUGUGACUCGUUUCAGGAAAGUAGGCAUAUGUCGCGUGUCACUACUUCACAGGAGCGCUAUUUGAACGUAAACAAUGUUUUUAAAAUCAAAAUGCGUUUUGGGGGAAUAAAAUUGUUAAAUUACGAGCCUAGUUGGUUUAGCCAUGGAAAAAGACAGAAACUUUCCCGCUAGCCAUGAUUGACUGAGAUAAUGAGUGGUUUGGACAUGCCGAGAGAUGAGUUCGGAUUGGUCUACCAUGUAGCACGCUUCUGUCUAUAAUAUGAGCUGGUCAGUAUGUGUAGGUAAUCCUUUCCAACGUGGCUUUUUUGAAAGAUAUCACAUAGUAGAACUGCAUAAGUGUUGCUCUCCACUUUCUGGAGGACUGAGUUUUGAAAUCAGUGGAAUUAGAGUAUGAUAGCUAAGGAGAUGGAGAAAAUUCUGCCGUUUGAUUGGAAAUAUGCAGACGGAGUCGAAAAGAGAACACAGAAGGCUCCGGAUUACAUCUUCAAACUAAGAGCAACCAUGGCAUCCCUGACAGAGAAGGAGAAGCGUCCAUCCAUGUAUAUGGGUAAGAGAGUCUAGCUAGCUAAAUUUUCAGAUAUUACACAUUUCUAAUUUUGUCAGAAAGUAAUUUUCAUUUGAAGUUAAAGUGUACUGUUAGCUAGCUAGCUAACGUUAGCUGGCUGGCUAGCUAGCUAAUGUUACGGGUAUGAUCUUUGUGGUAAUUUUAUUCAUAUCUCAGAGCCAUUUGCAUUGCUAGUUAUAGCCUGAUGUUAGCUAGCUAACAAUGAACCUGGUUGGUUUGCUACCUGCAGAUUCAUGCAGGGUAGUAAUGUCAUGAGAUGGUAUUAUGGUUCAUUGUUUAGCUAGCUAGCUACAUGUCUUAACAAAAGACCACUAUGCAAGUAACUAUUUCAAUAGAAUGUUAAUGAUGUCACUGUGACAACUGUCGAUAGACGUAGCUAGUCAAUUCGCUCUGGCUAUCUACUCUGAUUUCAGAGCACUCUCGUCUGAGUGUGCCAGAGCGCAGAAUAACUGAUGAAUUUACGAAUGCUCAACACCCGUUGAACAUGGCCGGUGUCAGUAAAUGUUGGCAAAAAAUGAGUAAUUAAAUUGUUGCCAGCAGCACAGUUAAAGUUACCAACGCUCUGAAUAACAUGAAAACAGCCUAAUCAGCUCUGCUAGGGAGAGUAAAACGGUCAGAGUGAGGUGUUCUCUCAUUUGUGUCUGAAAGUAUCUAGCCAGUUAGCUUGGGUGCUUGACUGCCGUUGUGAGGUCAGAGCUCUCUGAUCAACCCUACUCCUCGGCCAGUGUCCAGUGUGCGAACAACAAUCUGACAAGGCUCUGAAUUUACGAACGCCCAGAGCGCACUCUGGCACUCCAGAUAAAAUGUAAGAACACACCCGUAGUAUAAACUAGCCUUUAGUCUUGAAAUCUUUGGUUGUUUAGUACAUGGCCUCACAUGUGAAUCCUCAAAGAGAUGGGUGGGGCUAAAGCUUAAGAGGGUGAGAAUGAUGCUGAAUGGGUGUAGACAAAGAAGAGCUCUCCAGUAGGUACCAAAACACUGAAGGGCCAUUUUCUCAAAAGUGAGGUUACAAGUUUAUAAACUUACAAAGCAGAAUUACUUUCCCAUUGUUCCUCAACUGUAGUGUAUUAUAUAAAAAUGUUUGUAGCUCUGAGUCUCUACUUUUAUCCAAUGUAAAAAACACAAUUUAAAAUUUUACUACAUAAGACCGAAUCGAGCCGGUCUGUCACAUAUUAGCAGAACACUGUUUAUUCUACAUGGACGUGUUACUACAAUUGAAAGUAAUCAAAACAGUUAUGAAUAUCUACAUACAUUCAGCAAUUGCAUUCUCUUAUUACUCUGUAGGCUGCUGACCUGUUCAAAGUUCAUUUGCUGUCAUUUGAUUGCUGUUUUGUUUCAUAUUGUGUUUGAUUGUUGUGUUGCUGUGAUCAGGGAACCCUUGUGAAUGAAACCCUAAAAUAAAUAAAUAUACACUUUUUU
This 3701-nucleotide long non-coding RNA is filed under the name Salmo salar (Atlantic salmon). RNAcentral's name for it is "lncRNA (ENSSSAG00000098041.1)". The record is from RNAcentral. Lineage: Eukaryota; Metazoa; Chordata; Actinopteri; Salmoniformes; Salmonidae.